This 1416-nucleotide unclassified non-coding RNA is filed under the name Hevea brasiliensis (rubber tree). Lineage: Eukaryota; Viridiplantae; Streptophyta; Magnoliopsida; Malpighiales; Euphorbiaceae. The record is from RNAcentral.
AGUUAUAGUAAUUUUUGAGUUCUGAUAGUUGGAGGAGACAAUAAUGGCAAGUAACAAUAUGGAGCUUCCUGCGCCUCUGUCUUGGAAGAAACUGCUCAUGCCGAAAAAGGGUAUAAGAGCAAAGAAGAAUGAGGUUGUAUUUGUUGCUCCAACAGGAGAGGAGAUAAGGAACAAGAGGCAGUUGGAGAAGUACCUGAAAACACACAAUGGAAAUCCUGGUAUGUCAGAAUUUGAUUGGACUACUGGUGAGACUCCGAGGAGAUCAGCACGGAUCAGUCAGAAGGUUAAGGCAAUGCCACUUCCAGCAGUGCUUGAGCCAGCAAAGAAACGACAACGUACGUCUUCAUCUACAAAAAAAGAAGAGGAAAUGGAUGCCGCAAAUGCAGAGAAGGAAAACAUGGACAAGAAAGAAAUGGAAUCUGUCAUAGAAGCAACGGAAGGCUUGGAAAACAAGGAGAAUGUAGUAGACAAUGAAACGGUGGACAAGGAAGUAGACACAGAGCACAAGAAAGAUGAGGAAUUGUCUGGUGGAGAGGUCUUGCAGAAGCAGAAAUCUGAAGCCAGUAAUGACGCUCUAGUCGAGGAUGGUGGCAAGCUGGCUCAAAAUGGCAUAGAGGAUACUAUAGUAGAAGUUGAAAUAGAGGACAAGGGGGAUGAGAUGGGCGCUUAUAAGGAAAAUAUUGAGCAUAAAAUAGAAGGGGAAAUCUCUGGUACAGAGGUUUCAGAUAGGAAAACUGAGACCAGCAAUGAUACUCAGUUUGGGGAUGGAAGUAAAAUGGCUGAAAACGUUUCAGUGGUGACUACAGCAAUCGAUGCAGACUUCUGGAAUGAUUCCAUGGACAAGGACUAUUUCAAGGGAGCUUUUGCAAAUGCUGUAAUUGGAGAUACAAAUGCUGCUGAAGCAGGAAUAGAAGUCGGGGAGAAACCAGGAUACGGGGAAAAUCUAGAGUCCCAGAUUGACAUAGAAAUUAGUGGAGCAGAUGAUAUGAAUCACGACAUGCCAGAUAUGGUCGCAUCAGAGAGAAAUGUCGCCGGAGGGGAGACGUUGAACAUUCAGGACCCUGCAUUUGUUGAAGGAACUGGUGGUUUCCAUGAAGAGCAUAGGCCGCUGGAAGAGGAGAAAAAUAAGAACAGUACUGGUCUGGUGAUGGAUAAUGGCCAGAUUAACCAGCCAGAGCGGGCACAUACCCCGCAACAUCAAUCUUCCGCUACCAUAAGUUGCUGAGUGUAGCAUCUAAAAUAAAUUAGGCCUUCGCCAAGUGCAUGUUUAAUCCUUCCUUGGACGAGUAUAAUAGUUUGUUUAGUAGCUUAGGAAUUAGCUUCUCUGGAGAUCAACUUUCCUUUUCUGUAACAUUGCAUCUGUGAUCUGUACUCUCUGAUAUAUUGUGGUUUCUUACUAACAUAAAUAAAUGUCAA